CCUACGGGAGGCAGCAGUGGGGAAUAUUGCACAAUGGGGGAAACCCUGAUGCAGCGACGCCGCGUGAGUGAAGAAGUAUUUCGGUAUGUAAAGCUCUAUCAGCAGGGAAGAAAAUGACGGUCCCUGAUUAAGCAGCCACGGCUAACUACGUGCCAGCAGCCGCGGUAAUACGUAGGGGGCAAGCGUUAUCCGGAUUGACGGGGUGUAAAGGGGGCGUAGACGGCAGGACAAGUCUGGAGUGAAAUGCCGGGGCUUAACCCCGGAACUGCUUUGGAAACUGUGCAGCUAGAGUGUAGGGGAGGUAAGUGGAAUUCCUAGUGUAGCGGUGAAAUGCGUAGAUAUUAGGAGGAACACCAGUGGCGAAGGCGGCUUACUGGACUGUAACUGACGUUGAGGCUCGAAAGCGUGGGGAGCAAACAGGAUUAGAUACCCUAGUAGUC
This 440-nucleotide ribosomal RNA is filed under the name uncultured bacterium. RNAcentral describes it as "partial 16S ribosomal RNA". It matches the Rfam family "Bacterial small subunit ribosomal RNA", at positions 338 to 795 of the family's 1533-position model. The record is from RNAcentral.